GACGAACGCUGGCGGCGUGCUUAACACAUGCAAGUCGAACGGAAAGGCCCUGCUUUUGUGGGGUGCUCGAGUGGCGAACGGGUGAGUAACACGUGAGUAACCUGCCCUUGACUUUGGGAUAACUUCAGGAAACUGGGGCUAAUACCGGAUAGGAGCUCCUGCUGCAUGGUGGGGGUUGGAAAGUUUCGGCGGUUGGGGAUGGACUCGCGGCUUAUCAGCUUGUUGGUGAGGUAGUGGCUUACCAAGGCUUUGACGGGUAGCCGGCCUGAGAGGGUGACCGGGCACAUUGGGACUGAGAUACGGCCCAGACUCCUACGGGAGGCAGCAGUGGGGAAUAUUGCACAAUGGGCGGAAGCCUGAUGCAGCAACGCCGAGUGCGGGAUGACGGCCUUCGGGUUGUAAACCGCUUUCGCCUGUGACGAAGCGUGAGUGACGGUAAUGGGUAAAGAAGCACCGGCUAACUACGU
RNAcentral lists this ribosomal RNA (467 nucleotides) under uncultured bacterium. RNAcentral's name for it is "partial 16S ribosomal RNA". It matches the Rfam family "Bacterial small subunit ribosomal RNA", at positions 28 to 506 of the family's 1533-position model. The record is from RNAcentral.